This 463-nucleotide ribosomal RNA is filed under the name uncultured bacterium. RNAcentral describes it as "partial 16S ribosomal RNA". It matches the Rfam family "Bacterial small subunit ribosomal RNA", at positions 28 to 506 of the family's 1533-position model. The record is from RNAcentral.
GACGAACGCUGGCGGCGUGCUUAACACAUGCAAGUCGAACGGAAAGGCCCUUCGGGGGCACACGGGUGGCGAACGGGUGAGUAACACGUGAGCAACCUGCCCUUGACUUCGGAAUAACAGCUGGAAACAGGGGCUAAUACCGGAUAUGACACCGUUCCUCCUGGGCUGGGGUGGAAAGCUUCGGCGGUUUGGGAUGGGCUCGCGGCCUAUCAGCUUGUUGGUGGGGUAAGGGCUCACCAAGGGUUUGACGGGUAGCCGGCCUGGGAGGGCCACCGGCCACAUUGGGACUGAGAUACGGCCCAGACUCCUACGGGAGGCAGCAGGGGGGAAUAUUGCACAAUGGGCGCAAGCCUGAUGCAGCAACGCCGCGUGCGGGAUGACGGCCUUCGGGUUGUAAACCGCUUUCAGUAGGGACGAAGCCACAAGUGACGGUACCGACAGAAGAAGGACCGGCUACCUACUU